RNAcentral lists this unclassified non-coding RNA (358 nucleotides) under soil metagenome. RNAcentral describes it as "partial contains 5.8S ribosomal RNA, internal transcribed spacer 2, and large subunit ribosomal RNA". The stretch from base 1 to 120 matches the Rfam family "5.8S ribosomal RNA", at positions 35 to 154 of the family's 154-position model. The record is from RNAcentral.
GAUGAAGAACGCAGCGAAAUGCGAUAAGUAAUGCGAAUUGCAGAAUUCAGUGAAUCAUCGAAUCUUUGAACGCACAUUGCGCCCGCCAGUAUUCUGGCGGGCAUGCCUGUCUGAGCGUCGUUUCGACCCUCGCGCCCGGCUUCUGUCGGGGGCGGUGUUGGGGAUCGGCCACACCCUUCAGUGGGAGGCCGGCCCCUAAAUUCAGUGGCGACCACGCUGUAGCCUCCCCUGCGUAGUACUAAAACCACCUCGCAGGCGGAGAGCGGUGCGGCCCGCCGUAAAACCCCCCAACUUUUACAAGGUCGACCUCAGAUCAGGUAGGAAUACCCGCUGAACUUAAGCAUAUCAAUAAGGAGGA